This 433-nucleotide ribosomal RNA is filed under the name uncultured bacterium. Its description in RNAcentral is "partial 16S ribosomal RNA". It matches the Rfam family "Bacterial small subunit ribosomal RNA", at positions 29 to 507 of the family's 1533-position model. The record is from RNAcentral.
AACGAACGCUGGCGGCAUGCCUAACACAUGCAAGUCGAACGAGACCUUCGGGUCUAGUGGCGCACGGGUGCGUAACGCGUGGGAACCUGCCCUUAGGUUCGGAAUAACUCCCCGAAAGGGGUGCUAAUACCGGAUAAUGUCUCCGGACCAAAGAUUUAUCGCCUUUGGAUGGGCCCGCGUUGGCUUAGCUAGUUGGUAGGGUAAAAGCCUACCAAGGCGACGAUCCAUAGCUGGUCUGAGAGGAUGAUCAGCCACACUGGGACUGAGACACGGCCCAGACUCCUACGGGAGGCAGCAGUGGGGAAUAUUGGACAGUGGGCGAAAGCCUGAUCCAGCAAUGCCGCGUGAGUGAUGAAGGCCUUAGGGUUGUAAAGCUCUUUUACCCGGGAUGAUAAUGACAGUACCGGGAGAAUAAGCUCCGGCUAACUCCGUG